This 235-nucleotide ribosomal RNA is filed under the name uncultured bacterium. RNAcentral's name for it is "partial 16S ribosomal RNA". It matches the Rfam family "Bacterial small subunit ribosomal RNA", at positions 96 to 334 of the family's 1533-position model. The record is from RNAcentral.
CGGCGGACGGGUGAGUAAUGUAUGGGGAUCUGCCUGAUGGCGGGGGAUAACUACUGGAAACGGUAGCUAAUACCGCAUAAUGUCUACGGACCAAAGCGGGGGACCUCCGGGCCUCGCGCCAUCAGAUGAACCCAUAUGGGAUUAGCUAGUAGGUAAGGUAACGGCUUACCUAGGCGACGAUCCCUAGCUGGUCUGAGGGGAUGAUCAGCCACACUGGGACUGGGACACGGCCCAG